GCCAGUGUGGCAUAAUGGUUUGAGUGUUGGACUAUGACUCUGAAGGCAAGGUUCAAUUCCCAGCUUGACC
This is a non-coding RNA of Phrynosoma platyrhinos (Desert horned lizard), 70 nucleotides long. The record is from the annotation of a GenBank genome assembly. NCBI's taxonomy places the organism in Eukaryota, Metazoa, Chordata, Lepidosauria, Squamata, Phrynosomatidae.